This 236-nucleotide unclassified non-coding RNA is filed under the name plant metagenome. RNAcentral's name for it is "partial contains small subunit ribosomal RNA, internal transcribed spacer 1, and 5.8S ribosomal RNA". The record is from RNAcentral.
UUUCCGUAGGUGAACCUGCGGAAGGAUCAUUACUGAGUGAGGGUCCCUCGGGGUCCAACCUCCCACCCGUGUUUAACGAACCUUGUUGCUUCGGCGGGCCCGCCUCACGGCCGCCGGGGGGCAUCUGCCCCCGGGCCCGCGCCCGCCGAAGCCACCUGUGAACGCUGUCUGAAGUAUGCAGUCUGAGACAAUUAUUAAAUUAAUUAAAACUUUCAACAACGGAUCUCUUGGUUCCG